UACGUAGGUGGCAAGCGUUAUCCGGAUUUAUUGGGCGUAAAGGGCGUGUAGGCGGGAAUGCAAGUCAGAUGUGAAAACUCAGGGCUCAACCCUGAGCCUGCAUUUGAAACUGUAUUUCUUGAGUGCUGGAGAGGCAAUCGGAAUUCCGUGUGUAGCGGUGAAAUGCGUAGAUAUACGGAGGAACACCAGUGGCGAAGGCGGAUUGCUGGACAGUAACUGACGCUGAGGCGCGAAAGCGUGGGGAGCAAACAGG
RNAcentral lists this ribosomal RNA (253 nucleotides) under uncultured bacterium. RNAcentral describes it as "partial 16S ribosomal RNA". It matches the Rfam family "Bacterial small subunit ribosomal RNA", at positions 524 to 776 of the family's 1533-position model. The record is from RNAcentral.